This is a long non-coding RNA of Oncorhynchus keta (chum salmon), 1327 nucleotides long. RefSeq lists it as uncharacterized. The record is from RefSeq and is a predicted model, not a curated record. NCBI's taxonomy places the organism in Eukaryota, Metazoa, Chordata, Actinopteri, Salmoniformes, Salmonidae. The transcript has 3 exons.
UAUGAUAUUUACAGUGGGACGCGUAGUUUAAAAAAGGGUACAUCUCUGAUGAUAUUUACAGUGGGACGCGUGGUGUUAAAAAAGGGUACAUCUCUUAUGAUAUUUACAGUGGGACGCGUAGUUUAAAAAAGGGGUACAUAUCUGAUGAUAUUUACAGUGGGACGCGUAGUGUUAAAAAAGGGUCAAUCUCUGAUGAUAUUUACAGUGGGACGCGUAGUUUAAAAAAAGGGUACAUCUCUGAUGAUAUUUACAGUGGGACGCGUGGUGUUAAAAAAGGGUACAUCUCUGAUGAUAUUUACAGUGGGACGCGUGGUGUUAAAAAGGGUACAUCUCUGAUGAUAUUUACAGUGGGACGCGUAGUGUUAAAAAAGGGUACAUCUCUGAUGAUAUUUACAGUGGGACGCGUGGUGUUAAAAAAGGGUACAUCUCUGAUGAUAUUUACAGUGGGACGCGUGGUGUUAAAAAGGGUACAUCUCUGAUGAUAUUUACAGUGGGACGCGUAGUGUUAAAAAAGGGUACAUCUCUGAUGAUAUUUACAGUGGGACGCGUGGUGUUAAAAAAGGGUACAUCUCUGAUGAUAUUUACAGUGGGACGCGUGGUGUUAAAAAAGGGUACAUCUCUGAUGAUAUUUACAGUGGGACGCGUGGUGUUAAAAAAGGGUACAUCUCUGAUGAUAUUUACAGUGGGACGCGUGGUGUUAAAAAAGGGGUACAUCUCUGAUGAUAUUUACAGUGGGACGCGUGGUGUUAAAUGACUGGCACGUCGCAGGAAGCACCACCGGGUACGACAGGACCCUAGGUAUAAUUUGCUUUCAGGAGCCUGUACAUUAUCACUUUCUCUGCGUCUCCCUGCCUGAUAUGUGCUUUAGCUGGUUUGAUUCUCAGGCAUUGUGCUUGAGUGGCAUUUAAAAGAAACAGGUAUGUUGGUACUAUAGUGAUUAGUACUAUAGCGAUUAGUACUAUAGUACUAUAGUGAUUAGUACUAUAGUACUAUAGUGAUUAGUACUAUAGUGAUUAGUACUAUAGUACUAUAGUGAUUAGUACUAUAGUACUAUAGUGAUUCGUACUAUAGUACUAUAGUGAUUCGUACUAUAGUACUAUAGUGAUUCGUAAUAUAGUACUAUAGUGAUUUCCUCCUCUGAGACUUAGGUACUUUCAUGUUUAGACAAUGCUUGUGUCAGCAUUAAUCUAUCAUGACCAAUGAUUUUCUCUCCACCUAUUGAAAUAUAUCAUUUGGAUAAACGUGUCAACACAGCUGUGUCUAAUGUGAGACGACUUCAGGCUUUUCACACAAUCAUUAUGAAAGUAACUAAAAGCUUCACGGUCAA